GUACGUAGUAUAUAUAUUAUGCAAUUAUAGUUUAUCUCUUUAUGGUUUUUUAUUCUCUUUAUUGUGCACACUUGAGAACUUGUGAGCAAACGGUACAGUUAUGUUUUGAACCAUAUGAAUGAGUUUAAUCUAUUACCACUUAUGUAAACUCUAUUCAUACAUGUUAUGCUUAAUGUUAAUCUUUGUUCUAAUAAAAAUACUAAUUGUGUAACUAAUGGGGAUCUGGUG
This 228-nucleotide long non-coding RNA is filed under the name Panax ginseng (ginseng). RNAcentral's name for it is "long non-coding RNA (PGIN_LNC005713)". Lineage: Eukaryota; Viridiplantae; Streptophyta; Magnoliopsida; Apiales; Araliaceae. The record is from RNAcentral.